Molecule: long non-coding RNA, 5140 nt
Organism: Hypanus sabinus (Atlantic stingray)
Lineage: Eukaryota; Metazoa; Chordata; Chondrichthyes; Myliobatiformes; Dasyatidae
Exons: 3
Source: RefSeq, a predicted model, not a curated record
AUCAUUCAUCAGCUAGACUGGAUAAAGACUGGAUAAUGGCUGAACAACACCAUCGUCCCUGGUAGGUACCAGACAGAAAGUCAGCCCAGGGGAUUUUAAUAAAUCCUAACAUAUCGCAGAGAUGGCAACACACUAAUGAACAGGUAAUUAUGUAACUCCCUAGUUUAUUAAAACCAGAUUGCAAGUCUAUUACCACUGAUUACAUUUGCCAAUUUCAGCUAUAUACAUUUACAUUUGUGCACAGGACUUUGGGUAGCAGGAACUCAAUAAAAAAUUGUGAAACAAUUGAAUGGGACUCUGGGGAAAUUCUGUGCUAUGGUUUCAGUGAACUCAUGAAGUUCAAAGAGAAAGCAUGACAGGUCACAGAGUGCCCUAAGUAUUGGUCUGGCUCUCAUGUUCCAGUUGCUGAUCUACCUGCUGUGCAUUACUGCACCUUGUACUCCUGUUUGAAACUUACCACUUACUCUUUCUCAUCAACCCCACACCCUGAGCCUGCAUAUGACAAAAACUGUGGAGUUUCUGCAUCUAAUUUAUUAUCGAUACUAUGACAAGGCUUCAACUGAAUUCACCAUGUCAGCAUCACUCUGUCAGAGUUAUUCCGAGUAACACUGACUGGACUUGGAUUUAUUGCAGAACAACACUAUAGCUGAACUCAGAUUAAUAAAGUGAGAAAUUAAUGUUUGACAGAUUUUGUGCAGUGAUGCUUUGCUUUGAUUCGGAUAUAGUACAGAGGGAGUGACGUCGUGGUUUAACUCAGAAUUAUUAGUUUAACACCGCAGCUUAACUAUGACUUAUUACAGAAUAAUGGUGAGGAUGAACUUAAAUCUAUUGUAGUGGGACCCCGUGACUAUAAAGAGAUUUAUGAGAUAGUGAUACUGUGGGACAAUUCAAUUAAUUACUAGUGACCAUUGGGACUAAGAGUUAAUGCCUGAAUUUUGCAGAUAAAUGUUAGGAUUUCUGUAGAAAACCAUGAAUUUCCAUAUUUGUGUGGAAGUACACACAGUGGUCAACGAUCCAUUGCUGUUUUCCCAAAUACACUCCAAUGCUGUACACCUCCUGGUGCCCAGUGAAAUAGCAGGAAUUACACAGAUUCAUUGUCCCUUGCACUGGGAUAGAGUAUAACUGUAAGUCCAUUAACUUCAUCCAUAAUUGUUUGAGCAUUUUGAAAUAUUUAUAAGUGUUUUAAAAUAUUUAGGAAUUUUGUUUCUUUAAAAUUUUACCAUUUUUAAUUAUUUAAAAGAGAGUUUAUUGGAGUUUGAAUGCCCUAUAAUAGUUUUUGAAUGCUUCUGAAUGUACUUACAUGGAAUAAACUUUCAAAAAUAUUAUCAAACAUUUUGCAGAAGUAUUUUGGACUAUUUGAUGGUAUGGCUUGAUAUCUCACUCUGUGUCAACAAACCAAAGAUUUGAUCAUUGACGACAGGGGGAAGAAGCUGGAGGUCCAUGAGCCAGUCUUCAUGAGGGGAUCUGAGGUGGAGGGGCCAGUAACUUUAAAUUCCUUGGUGUUAUCAUAAUAGGGGAUCUGUCCUGCGGCCAGCACUUAAGUGCCAUCAUAAAGAAGUGACAACACCACCUCUACUUUCUUAGAAGUUUACAUAGAAUCAUCAUGUCACCUAAAGCUUCGACAAACCUCGACUGAUGCACAGUGGAAAGUAUUCUAAAAACUGGUUGUGUCACAGUCUGCUAUGAAACAUGACUGCACAGGAAUGGAAAAAUCUGCAGAAAGUGGUGGAUACAGCUCAGGCAAUCACAGGCAAACCCUUACCCACCAAUAAGCAGGUUUACAUGGAGCACUGCAACAAGAAAGCAGCACCCUCCAUUAAGGACCCCCACCAUCCAGGACAUGCUCCCUUUUCACUAUUACCAUCAGGCAGGAGGUACGAGAGAUAGAUCCCACAGGAACAAUUCAGGAAAAGUUAUUACCUUACAAUCAUUAAGCUCCUGAACCAGCAUGGGAACUUCACUUAACUCAACUCUGAACAAGUUCCACAACCUAUAGACUCACUUCCAAGAAUUUUAGUACUCCGCUUUUCAGUAUUAUUUUUUAGUUAUUUGCACAAUUUAUCUUCUUUUAUUAUUGUCAGCAUUGAUUAUUUGUCAUCUUUAUUUAGGUGUAGUUUUUCAUAAACAUUAUUGUAUUUCUUUAUUUUCCUGUAAAUGCCCGCAAGAAAAGGGUUGUACAUAGUGACCUAUAUGUGCUUUGAUAAUAAGUUUGUCUUUGAUUUUGCUGGAGUUUAUGUUGCAGGAAGCCAAGUCGUUGACAAAGGGCAGGGAGCUGCUUCCCAACCACGUGAUCCUGUUGAAGAACUGAGAUGGAUAAUUUUGUACAUCAUUGAUCAGUAGUGAUCAAUUACAGAUUAACGUUGGUGAACAGUGAAGUAAAACAGUGAUAAUGUUGGAAAUAAUCUCCAGAGCAGCAGAGGCUGAAGGGAGACCUGGGAGAAGUUUACAUAAGUAUGAGAGGCAUUGACAGACAGCCGGUAUCUUUUUCCCAGAAAGGAAGUGUUUAUGACAACAGGACAUGCAUUUAAGGUGGUGGGGGAGGGGGGAUUCAAAGGACAAGUAUUUUAUACAGGGAGUGGUGGAUGCUUGGAAGUGGCAACAGGAUAGAAGCAUUAAAGAAGCUCCCAGAUAGACACAUGAAUGUGUAGAUAAUAGAGGGAUAUAGACCAUGUACUGGCAGAUGUAAUUAGGUGUAUUCAGUUAAAUUAGUUCAGCACAACAUUAUGACCUGAAGGGCUUAUUCCUGUGCUGUGUAGUUCUGUGUUCUAUGUUUUAUAAUAAGCAGUUUAGUCACUUGAUGAGAAUGAGCCAAGUAAAGAUUUCAGAAGCCAGAAACGUUAAACACCUUUUAGGAUGUGCAAGCGCUGGAGGUGAAACGAGACGGAUGGGAAGUUCGAUGACAAGGUGACAAGGUGACAAGUCUAAGCUGCUUCUGUGUUUUCACGAAUGCUUCUGACAAGAUUGACAUGAAUCAACCACCAGCUUGGUCCCUUCACAUCACCUUACUGUCGUGGUUUCCAACGACUGGGCUGCGGAUCAAUACCGGACCGCAAAGCAUGUGUUACCGGGCUGCGAGGAAACGAUAGAGUCAGCUGCACCUUUCCUCAUUCCCUGUCACACCCACUGUUGAACUUGAACACACGUGAGUUCAUUACACACGCAAAGUCAUUACCCAUGCGAGGUCAUCAGUUGCCUAAACGCAGUGAUACCCUAGCGCCAGGGAUCACUGGUUGGUCUCGGGUAACCAGCUGCCUCACGCGGCCGGCAAGAAGUGCCGUUGCUACUGGCUUGGAGCGCGGACAGAUGGGUGCCGCCUCAUUAGCACACCGAAUGUUCAUGGGGAACCCGGUGCUAAAGUAUUCACAGACAAUCUAAUUUGGGCUCAGGGUUUCGCAAAUAGCAGAGCAGCUACCUCGCUGCGAUCUACUGAAAGUCAUCCCUCAAGCCAAACUUCUGUCAGCCGAUAGGUUCUAACUACCUACAAGGAGGGCGGGCACGCGCCCUGUCGCACUCCUAGCUCGGUCGGUCGCUCUCUCCGGACUACGACUACUGUGGCUCCAGUACGGGGACCUCCGGCCCUUACCUUGCCCUCUCACUGGUGUGUUGCAAUGGUUUUGUAUGUUCAUAUGAGGAAAAUAUGCGCUGUGUGUUUAAUAUUCAAAUGUUACUUAAAAUGUUAUGAUGCUAUUAACUUAUAAGUGAGUUAUAAUUGAUUUAUAACUAUAUUCAUGUGAGGAAAAUAUGCACUGUGUGUUUAAUAUUAAAUUCAUUAGAUAAACCCUUUUAGAAACGAAAUUGAGUGUAUUAGCCACUUAUAAGUGACUUAUAGUUGACUUAGCACCUAUAUUCCGGUUGUGAUAAACACUCCCACCGUACCCCCCGUUGGCUGGUCCACAACAAUAUUGUCAAUACUAAACGGUCUACGGUACUAAAAAAGGUUGGUGACCCCUGCCUUACUGAAUUUCCAUGGCAAUGUGACAUUAUGUAUUCCUCCUACCUUCUUUGGCUCUUUCCCUUGCUGUAUUCCCUUCCCACACCCUGCCGGUUCUGCAGGGUGGAACCUUCACUCUUUCCAGUUUACCCAAUAAAAACUACUUUCCCUCCAUGAAUCAUUUCACUGAUUCAUUCAGUCACCUGUUGCUAGUCUGAACCUGCAACACUCAUUUAAUUUGCUUAAUAGGCUUCUUCCACCCUGUCUUCACCUUUCAGACAAUUGCUCAAACCACUGGUCUCUCUUUGCAAAAUUAUAACGUUUCCAAGCUUGAAAAUGCUCAACAGAUGAACACUUACAGAUAUUAGGUUUGAAAAUUCCAACCCUUUGACUAAAACAAUUUCUCAAUCACUCCAAACCAGUUGAUGUCUUAUUCUAUGACUAAAUCCAUUGGUUUUAAACAGGAAAUGACCUCAUAACACCUCUUGUUGAUCCUCCUUCAUGUGUAUUCAAUGUGUUCUUCAUUGACUUGUGUAAUUAUUGAUUGAGUAUUAUCCUAUCUUACUCAUUCUGUCUGCAUAUGAUGAUCAUUAUUUGGAAUCAAACUAACAAACAUUCACAGAAGCAGAUAAGUCUUACCUGCAGUACAGAGACUAAUGAUGCAGCAAGUUCUCCAGAUGUGUCCUCACUGAAGCCUUAUACAAAUGAAGCAAGAAUUCCUAGCUCUUGUACUUAAAUCCCCUUGUGAUAUAAGGCAAACACACCAAAUACCUUCUAAUUGCAUCCUAUAUUUCAUUACUUCCUGCACUUUGUUUACCAGCACACCUGAUCCCCAUGAAUCCCAGCAGUUAAUGGUUUCUGCUUUGCCAGUCAUCCAACUAGAUAGUCCAGGACUGACUUUAUCUCUUUCUCUCUCAGUGAGUGGGGGGGGGGGGUGGUGGUGAAUGAAAGGAGAUGACAGCAGAGAAGAGGGAGUGGGGUAAAGGACCACAACAUUUCUUGCUUAAUGUACAUUUACAGAAUCUAUUAGUGUUGUUGAAAAAAAACAUCCUGAAACAGUACCCCAAGUAUCCCAGGUAAUAAAGAAAAGUUUAUUCUUUAUUACCUUUAUUUCAUUGACUUGAAACGUUUCUGUAUUGUUAAUAUAAUACAUGUACACUUUCUUCUGGAGAUGCUGGUGAAUACUCAAGGCUAUAAUAAAAUAUGAAC